GAUUGAACGCUGGCGGCAGGCCUAACACAUGCAAGUCGAACGGCAGCACAGAAGAGCUUGCUCUUUGGGUGGCGAGUGGCGGACGGGUGAGUAAUGUCUGGGAAACUGCCCGAUGGAGGGGGAUAACUACUGGAAACGGUAGCUAAUACCGCAUAACGUCGCAAGACCAAAGUGGGGGACCUUCGGGCCUCACACCAUCGGAUGUGCCCAGAUGGGAUUAGCUAGUAGGUGGGGUAAUGGCUCACCUAGGCGACGAUCCCUAGCUGGUCUGAGAGGAUGACCAGCCACACUGGAACUGAGACACGGUCCAGACUCCUACGGGAGGCAGCAGUGGGGAAUAUUGCACAAUGGGCGCAAGCCUGAUGCAGCCAUGCCGCGUGUAUGAAGAAGGCCUUCGGGUUGUAAAGUACUUUCAGCGGGGAGGAAGGCGGUGAGGUUAAUAACCUCGCCGAUUGACGUUACCCGCAGAAGAAGCACCGGCUAACUCCGUGCCAGCAGCCGCGGUAAUACGGAGGGUGCAAGCGUUAAUCGGAAUUACUGGGCGUAAAGCGCACGCAGGCGGUCUGUUAAGUCAGAUGUGAAAUCCCCGGGCUUAACCUGGGAACUGCAUUUGAAACUGGCAGGCUUGAGUCUCGUAGAGGGGGGGUAGAAUUCCAGGUGUAGCGGUGAAAUGCGUAGAGAUCUGGAGGAAUACCCGGUGGGCGAAGGGCGGCCCCUGGACGAAGACUGACGCUCAGGUGCGAAAGCGUGGGGAGCAAACAGGAUUAGAUACCUGGUAGUCCACGCCGUAAACGAUGUCGACUUGGAGGUUGUGCCCCUGAGGCGUGGCUUCCGGAGCUAACGCGUUAAGUCGACCGCCUGGGGAGUACGGCCGCAAGGUUAAAACUCAAAUGAAUUGACGGGGGCCCGCACAAGCGGUGGAGCAUGUGGUUUAAUUCGAUGCAACGCGAAGAACCUUACCUGGCCUUGACAUCCAGAGAACUUAGCAGAGAUGCUUUGGUGCCUUCGGGAACUCUGAGACAGGUGCUGCAUGGCUGUCGUCAGCUCGUGUUGUGAAAUGUUGGGUUAAGUCCCGCAACGAGCGCAACCCUUAUCCUUUGUUGCCAGCGGCUCGGCCGGGAACUCAAAGGAGACUGCCGGUGAUAAACCGGAGGAAGGUGGGGAUGACGUCAAGUCAUCAUGGCCCUUACGGCCAGGGCUACACACGUGCUACAAUGGCGCAUACAAAGAGAAGCGACCUCGCGAGAGCAAGCGGACCUCACAAAGUGCGUCGUAGUCCGGAUUGGAGUCUGCAACUCGACUCCAUGAAGUCGGAAUCGCUAGUAAUCGUAGAUCAGAAUGCUACGGUGAAUACGUUCCCGGGCCUUGUACACACC
This 1376-nucleotide ribosomal RNA is filed under the name uncultured bacterium. RNAcentral's name for it is "bacterial SSU rRNA". It matches the Rfam family "Bacterial small subunit ribosomal RNA", at positions 27 to 1391 of the family's 1533-position model. The record is from RNAcentral.